ACGGAAGGCAGCAGUGGGGAAUAUUGCACAAUGGAGGAAACUCUGAUGCAGCGACGCCGCGUGAGUGAAGAAGUAUUUCGGUAUGUAAAGCUCUAUCAGCAGGAAAGAAAAUGACGGUACCUGACUAAGAAGCCCCGGCUAACUACGUGCCAGCAGCCGCGGUAAUACGUAGGGGGCAAGCGUUAUCCGGAUUUACUGGGUGUAAAGGGAGCGUAGACGGUAUUGCAAGUCUGAAGUGAAAACCCGGGGCUCAACUCCGGGAUUGCUUUGGAAACUGUAGUACUAGAGUGCAGGAGAGGUAAGUGGAAUUCCUAGUGUAGCGGUGAAAUGCGUAGAUAUUAGGAGGAACACCAGUGGCGAAGGCGGCUUACUGGACUGUAACUGACGUUGAGGCUCGAAAGCGUGGGGAGCAAACAGGAUUAGAUACCCUGGUA
Molecule: ribosomal RNA, 434 nt
Filed under: uncultured Lachnospiraceae bacterium
Lineage: Bacteria; Bacillati; Bacillota; Clostridia; Lachnospirales; Lachnospiraceae
Description: bacterial SSU rRNA
Rfam family: Bacterial small subunit ribosomal RNA
Source: RNAcentral